Molecule: non-coding RNA, 120 nt
Filed under: Paraburkholderia silvatlantica
Lineage: Bacteria; Pseudomonadati; Pseudomonadota; Betaproteobacteria; Burkholderiales; Burkholderiaceae
Source: RNAcentral
GGGAGACGGCCUCCCGAAGUCGGCCUGCAGGGGCAGGCUUCAAACCGCCCGGUGCUGCUGCGUUCCAAAAGGCGUGGUGGUGAGCGACCGUGGAAAAGUCGUCCGAGAAGGACGGCAGGU